GACGAACGCUGGCGGCGUGCUUAACACAUGCAAGUCGAACGGCAAGGCCCUGCUUUUGUGGGGUGCUCGAGUGGCGAACGGGUGAGUAACACGUGAGUAACCUGCCCUUGACUUUGGGAUAACUUCAGGAAACUGGGGCUAAUACCGGAUAGGAGCUCCUGCUGCAUGGUGGGGGUUGGAAAGUUUCGGCGGUUGGGGAUGGACUCGCGGCUUAUCAGCUUGUUGGUGGGGUAGUGGCUUACCAAGGGUUUGACGGGUAGCCGGCCUGAGAGGGUGACCGGCCACAUUGGGACUGAGGUACGGCCCAGACGCCUACGGGAGGCAGCAGGGGGGAAUAUGGCACAAUGGGCGGAAGCCUGAUGCAGCAACGCCGCGUGCGGGAUGACGGCCUUCGGGUUGUAAACCGCUUUCGCCUGUGACGAAGCGUGAGUGACGGUAAUGGGUAAAGAAGCACCGGCUAACUACGUG
RNAcentral lists this ribosomal RNA (468 nucleotides) under uncultured bacterium. Its description in RNAcentral is "partial 16S ribosomal RNA". It matches the Rfam family "Bacterial small subunit ribosomal RNA", at positions 28 to 507 of the family's 1533-position model. The record is from RNAcentral.